This 600-nucleotide ribosomal RNA is filed under the name Firmicutes symbiont of Osedax sp. RNAcentral's name for it is "bacterial SSU rRNA". It matches the Rfam family "Bacterial small subunit ribosomal RNA", at positions 23 to 621 of the family's 1533-position model. The record is from RNAcentral. Lineage: Bacteria; Bacillati; Bacillota.
CUCAGGAUGAACGCUGGCGGCGUGCCUAACACAUGCAAGUCGAGCGAUACGGUUAAAAGUGAUUCUUCGGAUGAGUGAUUAACUAGAAAGCGGCGGACGGGUGAGUAACGCGUGAGUAACCUGCCCCAUACACAGGGAUAGCCAUUGGAAACGAUGAUUAAUACCUGAUAAUACUAUUUWAUCACUUGAUUUAAUAGUCAAAGAUUUAUCGGUAUGGGAUGGACUCGCGUCUGAUUAGCUAGUUGGUAAGGUAACGGCUUACCAAGGCGACGAUCAGUAGCCGACCUGAGAGGGUGAUCGGCCACACUGGAACUGAGACACGGUCCAGACUCCUACGGGAGGCAGCAGUGGGGAAUAUUGCACAAUGGGCGCAAGCCUGAUGCAGCAACGCCGCGUGAACGAUGAAGGCCUUCGGGUCGUAAAGUUCUUUUCUUAGGGAAGAAAAAAAUGACGGUACCUAAGGAAUAAGCACCGGCUAACUACGUGCCAGCAGCCGCGGUAAUACGUAGGGUGCAAGCGUUAUCCGGAAUCACUGGGCGUAAAGGGUGCGUAGGCGGCCUUGCAAGUCAGAAGUGAAAGGCUACGGCUCAACCGUAGUAA